Non-coding RNA from Triticum aestivum (bread wheat), 136 nucleotides. NCBI's taxonomy places the organism in Eukaryota, Viridiplantae, Streptophyta, Magnoliopsida, Poales, Poaceae. The record is from Rfam.
CAAAUACUCCCUCCGUCCGGAAAUACUUGUCAUCAAAAUAGACCAAAAAAGGAUGUAUCUAGAACUAAAAUACAUCUAGAUACACCCCUUUUCAUUCAUUUUGAUGACAAGUAUUUCCAGACGGAGGGAAUAGCAA